Molecule: ribosomal RNA, 1433 nt
Filed under: Lacticaseibacillus rhamnosus
Lineage: Bacteria; Bacillati; Bacillota; Bacilli; Lactobacillales; Lactobacillaceae
Description: bacterial SSU rRNA
Rfam family: Bacterial small subunit ribosomal RNA
Source: RNAcentral
AAUGCAAGUCGAACGAGUUCUGAUUAUUGAAAGGUGCUUGCAUCUUGAUUUAAUUUUGAACGAGUGGCGGACGGGUGAGUAACACGUGGGUAACCUGCCCUUAAGUGGGGGAUAACAUUUGGAAACAGAUGCUAAUACCGCAUAAAUCCAAGAACCGCAUGGUUCUUGGCUGAAAGAUGGCGUAAGCUAUCGCUUUUGGAUGGACCCGCGGCGUAUUAGCUAGUUGGUGAGGUAACGGCUCACCAAGGCAAUGAUACGUAGCCGAACUGAGAGGUUGAUCGGCCACAUUGGGACUGAGACACGGCCCAAACUCCUACGGGAGGCAGCAGUAGGGAAUCUUCCACAAUGGACGCAAGUCUGAUGGAGCAACGCCGCGUGAGUGAAGAAGGCUUUCGGGUCGUAAAACUCUGUUGUUGGAGAAGAAUGGUCGGCAGAGUAACUGUUGUCGGCGUGACGGUAUCCAACCAGAAAGCCACGGCUAACUACGUGCCAGCAGCCGCGGUAAUACGUAGGUGGCAAGCGUUAUCCGGAUUUAUUGGGCGUAAAGCGAGCGCAGGCGGUUUUUUAAGUCUGAUGUGAAAGCCCUCGGCUUAACCGAGGAAGUGCAUCGGAAACUGGGAAACUUGAGUGCAGAAGAGGACAGUGGAACUCCAUGUGUAGCGGUGAAAUGCGUAGAUAUAUGGAAGAACACCAGUGGCGAAGGCGGCUGUCUGGUCUGUAACUGACGCUGAGGCUCGAAAGCAUGGGUAGCGAACAGGAUUAGAUACCCUGGUAGUCCAUGCCGUAAACGAUGAAUGCUAGGUGUUGGAGGGUUUCCGCCCUUCAGUGCCGCAGCUAACGCAUUAAGCAUUCCGCCUGGGGAGUACGACCGCAAGGUUGAAACUCAAAGGAAUUGACGGGGGCCCGCACAAGCGGUGGAGCAUGUGGUUUAAUUCGAAGCAACGCGAAGAACCUUACCAGGUCUUGACAUCUUUUGAUCACCUGAGAGAUCAGGUUUCCCCUUCGGGGGCAAAAUGACAGGUGGUGCAUGGUUGUCGUCAGCUCGUGUCGUGAGAUGUUGGGUUAAGUCCCGCAACGAGCGCAACCCUUAUGACUAGUUGCCAGCAUUUAGUUGGGCACUCUAGUAAGACUGCCGGUGACAAACCGGAGGAAGGUGGGGAUGACGUCAAAUCAUCAUGCCCCUUAUGACCUGGGCUACACACGUGCUACAAUGGAUGGUACAACGAGUUGCGAGACCGCGAGGUCAAGCUAAUCUCUUAAAGCCAUUCUCAGUUCGGACUGUAGGCUGCAACUCGCCUACACGAAGUCGGAAUCGCUAGUAAUCGCGGAUCAGCACGCCGCGGUGAAUACGUUCCCGGGCCUUGUACACACCGCCCGUCACACCAUGAGAGUUUGUAACACCCGAAGCCGGUGGCGUAACCCUUUUAGGGAGC